UAUUAAAGGCAACGCCUGCCCAGUGAAUAAUUAAACGGCCGCGGUAUCCUAACCGUGCAAAGGUAGCGUAAUCACUUGCCUAUUAAUUGUAGGCCUGUAUGAAAGGCAUAAUGAGGGUUUAACUGUCUCUUUUAGUAAAUCAAUUAAACUGAUCUCCUAGUCCAAAAGCUAGGAUACUAACAUAAGACCAGAAGACCCUGUGAAGCUUUAACUAAACUAUUAAACUCUAUAAUAGCUCCUUUCGGUUGGGGCGACCUUGGAAAAAAAAAGAACUUCCAAACAUAAUAUACCAUUUAUAUUUACCAGGCUGACAAGCCUACCACGACCCAGCACAGCUGACAACUGAACCAAGUUACUCCAGGGAUAACAGCGCUAUCUUCUUCAAGAGCCCAUAUCAAAAAGAAGGUUUACGACCUCGAUGUUGGAUCAGGACAUCCCAACGGUGCAACCGCUAUUAAAGGUUCGUUUGUUCAACGAUUAACA
Molecule: ribosomal RNA, 483 nt
Filed under: Toxicocalamus pachysomus
Lineage: Eukaryota; Metazoa; Chordata; Lepidosauria; Squamata; Elapidae
Description: partial 16S ribosomal RNA
Rfam family: Bacterial large subunit ribosomal RNA
Source: RNAcentral